AUUGAACGCUAGCGGGAUGCCUUACACAUGCACGUCGCACGGAGUGGCGAACGGGUGAGUAAUGUAUCGGAACGUGCCCAGUAGCGGGGGAUAACUACGCGAAAGCGUAGCUAAUAACGCAUCCUAUUGGAGCGGCCGAUAGCGGAUUAGCGCGUUGGUGGGGUAACGGCUCACCAAGGCGACGAUCCGUAGCUUGUUUGGGAGGACGACCAGCCACAUGGUGACUGAGACACGGCCCCGACCCCUACGGGAGGCAGCAGUGGGGAAUUGUGUACAAUGGGGGAAACCCGGAGCCAGCCAUCCCGCGUGGGCGAUGAAGGCCUUCGGGUUGUAAAGCACUUUUGGCAGGAAAGCGGUACCUGCAGAAUAAGCACCGGCUAACUACGUGCCAGCAGCCGCGGUAAUAC
RNAcentral lists this ribosomal RNA (407 nucleotides) under uncultured bacterium. RNAcentral describes it as "partial 16S ribosomal RNA". It matches the Rfam family "Bacterial small subunit ribosomal RNA", at positions 30 to 526 of the family's 1533-position model. The record is from RNAcentral.